RNAcentral lists this ribosomal RNA (248 nucleotides) under uncultured Muribaculaceae bacterium. Its description in RNAcentral is "partial 16S ribosomal RNA". It matches the Rfam family "Bacterial small subunit ribosomal RNA", at positions 524 to 771 of the family's 1533-position model. The record is from RNAcentral. Lineage: Bacteria; Pseudomonadati; Bacteroidota; Bacteroidia; Bacteroidales; Muribaculaceae.
UACGUAGGUGGCGAGCGUUGUCCGGAAUUACUGGGCGUAAAGGGCGCGUAGGCGGAUCGUUAAGUUGGACGUGAAAUACCCCGGCUCAACUGGGGGGCGACGUCCAAAACUGGCGGACUAGAGUGCAGGAGAGGAAAGUAGAAUUCCCAGUGUAGCGGUGAAAUGCGUAGAUAUUGGGAGGAAUACCGGUGGCGAAGGCGGCUUUCUGGACUGUAACUGACGCUGAGGCGCGAAAGCUGGGGGAGCGA